UACCAGCACCCCGAGUGGUCGGGGCGAUUAUUGGGCCUAAAGCAUCCGUAGCCGGUUCUACAAGUCUUCCGUUAAAUCCACCUGCUCAACAGAUGGGCUGCGGAGGAUACUAUAGAGCUAGGAGGCGGGAGAGGCAAGCGGUACUUAGUGGGUAGGGGUAAAAUCCGUUGAUCCAUUGAGGACCACCAGUGGCGAAGGCGGCUUGCCAGAACGCACUCGACGGUGAGGGAUGAAAGCUGGGGGAGCAAACCGG
Molecule: ribosomal RNA, 253 nt
Filed under: uncultured bacterium
Lineage: Bacteria
Description: partial 16S ribosomal RNA
Rfam family: Archaeal small subunit ribosomal RNA
Source: RNAcentral